Molecule: ribosomal RNA, 503 nt
Filed under: uncultured eukaryote
Lineage: Eukaryota
Description: SSU rRNA
Rfam family: Eukaryotic small subunit ribosomal RNA
Source: RNAcentral
AGUCAUAUGCUUGUUUCAAAGAUUAACCCAUGCAUGUGUCAGAAUGUGCCUGUAUAGGCGAAUCUGCAGACGGCUCAUUACAACAGUAAUCACAUAUAUGAUGUUUUGAAACGGAUAUCCGUGGGAAACCAAGGUUAAUACGGGAUAAAACCGGGGCUCUUUGGUCUCGCGGUAUUUCCUGCUGUAUAAAUCGAACGCGCUUGCGUGUGCGAGGAGUCGCAGGAACUUUUCGAGCCGAUUGUAUCGGUGCGUCAUGUUGGUUUCUGACCUAUCAGCUUCCGACGGUAGGGUAUUGGCCUACCGUGGCUAUGACGGGUAACGGGGAAUUGGGGUUUGAUUCCGGAGAGGGCGCCUGAGAAAUGGCGACCAAGUCUAAGGAUUGCAGCAGGGGCGAAAAAUGCCGCUUUAUGACACAUAGAGGCUGUGACAAAACAUAGCAACUCAAAGCUUUUGCUUUGCUGAUUGCAAUGGGAUUCGGCCAAAUCUCGAAUCGAGUAGCAAUU